UAUAAUGCUUUUCAUUUUUGUGAGCUUCAGAAUGUACAUGAAAGAUAUCCUAAGAAUGAUAAUUGUUAAACCCAAUUUAUAUGAGAGUAAUUUGAAUGGACAACAAAGAAGAAGUCUGGAAACACAGUGAUUCGUUUACUUUCUAUGAGGAAAAAUUGAUGGGUUGAGAUAGUGCAAAGGAGGCAAAUCACAAAGAAAGCAACUUCUGUUGUGUUAUCUUUUGAGGAUAGGAAAAACAUAUUCUUUCUAGGUUAUUUUGUUUUGUCUGAUUUUUGUUUUUUUUUUGACAUGUGACAGGAGAUAUAUGUCUUCAUGAUUGACAGAGUUCGGGAUUAGGCAAGUUUCAAAUGCACAAGGCUCCACAUUGCAUCUGAGCUUAAAGAUAUCAUGUCUCUGAUGAUGAAGUCAGAAAUCUUGCUGUUGGUCAGUGGCUCUGCAGGCCGAGAGGACAUAACUAAGGUGUUGACCGUAUAGGAGCUAAACUCCCCAACAGGAGAGUCACAUCCUGCUGACAUACACAACAGACAAGACCUGGGAGACUCGCUAAUCCACUCCAGACAUUGAGGACCGUCUGAGAAUUGAACUGGCUCAAUGCAGACGCAAAGCCACUCUCAGGACUCUGGAGCUACUCCAUCAACAAACAAACACUCUAAAAUCGAGUUCUUAGACCCCAGAGGCCUGAGUGCUAACAGUUCCACUGCAAUGACUCAACUACCACUGAACUCUCUGCCCAUCUCAUUGCCAUGCCAGUGAGGCCCAGGAUUCUGCAGUCACCACAGCCAUCUCUGAUCCAUGAUGGCCCAUGGUCACAUCAGACCAACAGGAAAUUGCUGGCAACAGAUGGCAUCAGUCGAACCCUGCCUUGCAUUGCCUUCAAUCCACCCCCCACUUCUCUCCUUGACAUCAGCAGUGUCUAGCACGUCCCCCCCCCCACCACCACUUCUUUCCUUGACAUCAGCAGUGUCUAGCACGUCCAUCUCCCAGGAAGU
Molecule: long non-coding RNA, 989 nt
Organism: Mus musculus (house mouse)
Lineage: Eukaryota; Metazoa; Chordata; Mammalia; Rodentia; Muridae
Product: predicted gene, 33365
Exons: 4
Source: RefSeq, a predicted model, not a curated record